Acanthosepion pharaonis is the source of this 112-nucleotide non-coding RNA. Lineage: Eukaryota; Metazoa; Mollusca; Cephalopoda; Sepiida; Sepiidae. The record is from the annotation of a GenBank genome assembly.
UUACGGCCAUAUUACAUUGAAACAUCGAUUCCCGUACGAUCCAACAAAGUUAAGCAACGUCGGGCUUGGUCAGAACCUAGAUGGGUGACCGUUUGGGAAUGCCAUGUGCUGU